RNAcentral lists this ribosomal RNA (497 nucleotides) under uncultured bacterium. RNAcentral's name for it is "partial 16S ribosomal RNA". It matches the Rfam family "Bacterial small subunit ribosomal RNA", at positions 28 to 507 of the family's 1533-position model. The record is from RNAcentral.
GAUGAACGCUGGCGGCGUGCCUAAUACAUGCAAGUCGAGCGAACGGACGAGAAGCUUGCUUCUCUGAUGUUAGCGGCGGACGGGUGAGUAACACGUGGAUAACCUACCUAUAAGACUGGGAUAACUUCGGGAAACCGUAGCUAAUACCGGAUAAUAUUUUGAACCGCAUGGUUCAAAAGUGAAAGACGGUCUUGCUGUCACUUAUAGAUGGAUCCGCGCUGCAUUAGCUAGUUGGUAAGGUAACGGCUUACCAAGGCAACGAUGCAUAGCCGACCUGAGAGGGUGAUCGGCCACACGGGAACUGAGACACGGUCCAGACUACUACGGGAGGCAGCAGUAGGGAAUCUUCCGCAAUGGGCGAAAGCCUGACGGAGCAACGCCGCGUGAGUGAUGAAGGUCUUCGGAUCGUAAAACUCUGUUAUUAGGGAAGAACAUAUGUGUAAGUAAAUGUGCACAUCUUGACGGUACCUAAUCAAAAAGCCACGGCUAACUACGUG